CAAAGGUUUGGUCCUGGCCUUGCUAACAAUUUUAACUAAACUUACACAUGCAAGUAUCCGCACCCCUGUGAGAAUGCCCCAAUAGUCCCCUCAUUGGGAACAAGGAGCUGGUAUCAGGCACAUCCUAUUAGCCCAAGACACCUUGCAUAGCCACACCCCCAAGGGAACUUCAGCAGUGAUAGACAUUAAGCCAUGAGUGAAAACUUGACUUAGUUAAAGAUAAGAGGGUUGGUAAAACUCGUGCCAGCCACCGCGGUUAUACGAGAAGCCCAAGUUGUUAGAUACCGGCGUAAAGUGUGGUUAAGACUUAAACCCUAAGACUAAAGCUGAAUGCCUUCUAGGCCGUUAUACGUACCUGAAAGUAAGAAAACCAAUUACGAAAGUAGCUUUACUACUUCUGACUCCACGAAAGCCAGGAAACAAACUGGGAUUAGAUACCCCACUAUGCCUGGCCCUAAACAUUGAUGCGCAACUUACAAGCCAUCCGCCCGGGAACUACGAGCACCAGCUUGAAACCCAAAGGACUUGGCGGUGCUUUAGAUCCACCUAGAGGAGCCUGUUCUAGAACCGAUGAUCCCCGUUCAACCUCACCCUCCCUUGCUCCGUCCAGCCUAUAUACCGCCGUCGUCAGCUUACCCUAUGAAGGCCCCACAGUAAGCACAAUUGGCACAGCCCAAAACGUCAGGUCGAGGUGUAGCGUAUGAGAGGGGAAGAAAUGGGCUACAUUCACUAUUAUAGUGCACACGGAUGUCAUAAUGAAAUUUAUGACUGAAGGCGGAUUUAGUAGUAAGCAGAAAAUAGAGCGUUCCGCUGAACUUGGCCCUGAAGCGCGUACACACCGCCCGUCACUCUCCCCGAGCUACCAUCAAUAACCAAAUACUUAAACAACCAAAAUUGCAAAGGGGAGACAAGUCGUAACAUGGUAAGUGUACCGGAAGGUGUACUUGGAAAAU
RNAcentral lists this non-coding RNA (953 nucleotides) under Hapalogenys analis (broadbanded velvetchin). RNAcentral describes it as "12S ribosomal RNA". It matches the Rfam family "Bacterial small subunit ribosomal RNA". Lineage: Eukaryota; Metazoa; Chordata; Actinopteri; Lobotiformes; Hapalogenyidae. The record is from RNAcentral.